ACGGGGAUGUCAGUGCCAAGUCCACGUUGAGUCCCAAAUUGAAGUCGAUCAUUUUUUGCUUCCUAUGCAGUGUCAUACACCGCAUGCGAACAACCAAAGUUGUAGACAUAACUGAAGGUAUACUUCAGGAGUGGUGGGCAUGCUUAAAAUUUGUGCAGCUUGCAGGGUUCAGAAUUCAGUUCAUUAUUGAUCAUCUGAAGCGAGUUGUACGUGCCCACUUUGUUCUUCAGGCGAGAAAGUACACAGAUCACACCUCUGUUGAGAAAAAUCAAGAAAUAGAACAAAUUUCCAAGGAUAUAAAGGAACUAACGUCAAAGUUAGAAGCAACCAAGGAACAACAAGAGCAUGACAAAUCGCUUGCACAUGCUGCAACUGCAAGCUUGAUGAAGCAAUUCCUUAGGGACGCUUCGGUAAUGAAGUGGAAGCCUGCAGCUCAUGGUCUGCUAUAAUGCAAAAAAGAGGUCCUAGGUACGCUGCUAAUAAUGGGUGCAUUCUUCUCAUGCUGCCAUAAUAAGAAAGUUCCCAUUUUGAACCAUAACUAAUUCUGAGCGUUCAAGAUUUGUCUUAGAACCCUAAGUGAGCAAAAUCAUGAACUGAACUUGCGCAGCUGCAUAUUUCUGCUAUAAUAGUUGAUGCAAUCAUAUGACCAAACUAAACUUUAAGUUCUAGUUUAAAGAAAGUUUAGUGGUAGGAUAGGAAGCCUUUUGUACUAUUGCUGUCAAUAUAUAGCUUUUUUUU
Molecule: unclassified non-coding RNA, 738 nt
Filed under: Hevea brasiliensis (rubber tree)
Lineage: Eukaryota; Viridiplantae; Streptophyta; Magnoliopsida; Malpighiales; Euphorbiaceae
Source: RNAcentral